RNAcentral lists this transfer RNA (74 nucleotides) under bacterium ADurb.Bin363. RNAcentral describes it as "tRNA-Gln". It matches the Rfam family "tRNA". From Rfam's summary of the family: Transfer RNA (tRNA) molecules are approximately 80 nucleotides in length. Their secondary structure includes four short double-helical elements and three loops (D, anti-codon, and T loops). Further hydrogen bonds mediate the characteristic L-shaped molecular structure. tRNAs have two regions of fundamental functional importance: the anti-codon, which is responsible for specific mRNA codon recognition, and the 3' end, to which the tRNAs corresponding amino acid is attached (by aminoacyl-tRNA synthetases). tRNAs cope with the degeneracy of the genetic code in two manners: having more than one tRNA (with a specific anti-codon) for a particular amino acid; and 'wobble' base-pairing, i.e. permitting non-standard base-pairing at the 3rd anti-codon position. The record is from RNAcentral.
UGGGGAGUCGUCUAAUGGUAGGACAUGCGGCUCUGGACCGUAUAGCAGGGGUUCGAAUCCUCUCUCCCCAGCCA